This 254-nucleotide ribosomal RNA is filed under the name uncultured bacterium. RNAcentral's name for it is "partial 16S ribosomal RNA". It matches the Rfam family "Bacterial small subunit ribosomal RNA", at positions 524 to 776 of the family's 1533-position model. The record is from RNAcentral.
UACGUAGGCAGCGAGCGUUGUUCGGAGUUACUGGGCGUAAAGGGUGUGUAGGCGGUUGUUUAAGUUUGGUGUGAAAUCUGCCGGCUCAACUGGGAGGGUGCGCCGAAUACUGAAUGACUUGGAGUGCGGGAGAGGAGAGUGGAAUUCCUGGUGUAGCGGUGAAAUGCGUAGAUAUCAGGAGGAACACCGGUGGUGUAGACGGCUCUCUGGACCGUAACUGACGCUGAGACACGAAAGCGUGGGUAGCAAACAGG